RNAcentral lists this ribosomal RNA (305 nucleotides) under uncultured bacterium. Its description in RNAcentral is "partial 16S ribosomal RNA". It matches the Rfam family "Bacterial small subunit ribosomal RNA", at positions 508 to 807 of the family's 1533-position model. The record is from RNAcentral.
ACAGCAGCCGCCGCGGUAAUACAGAGGGUGCGAGCGUUAAUCGGAUUUACUGGGCGUAAAGCGUGCGUAGGCGGCUUCUUAAGUCGGAUGUGAAAUCCCUGAGCUUAACUUAGGAAUUGCAUUCGAUACUGGGAAGCUAGAGUAUGGGAGAGGAUGGUAGAAUUCCAGGUGUAGCGGUGAAAUGCGUAGAGAUCUGGAGGAAUACCGAUGGCGAAGGCAGCCAUCUGGCCUAAUACUGACGCUGAGGUACGAAAGCAUGGGGAGCAAACAGGAUUAGAUACCCGGGUAGUCCCUGUCUCUUAUAC